CCAAGUCCUUCUUCACAGUCUCUGGAGAAGUUGACACUAAGGCCAUCGACAAGAGUGCUAAGGUUGGAUUGGCUCUCUCUCUCAAGCCUUGAUAAUGAGCCAUCCCAAGUAGUAGUUUAUUUAUACUCCCUCUUGCUUGGUUUUAAUGGCGGGCUACUUGCUAAUCUUUUUUCCCCCAUUUUCUUGUUGGAUUUGUAGAAGAGAAUAAUAAUAAGGUUGACAGAAAAGAUGGUUUGUUUUGGUGAUAUGAUGAAGCACUAAACGAUCUUUAUGUUUCUUUACUAUGCACUGUGUUUCCUUCUACUCUGAUGUUACCCUUUUAACAUGUUUAAUCUUCUUUGUUGUUCGGCAUUUUAUUCGAUAUCUAUCAGUUUAGCUCUUCCUUUGAUGUUGUUUCUUUUACGAUUGAGUAAUGUGAUAGCUGAUUUGGUGGCAAAAUCAGCUCUCUCAUUGUUUAACUCCUCAUGGAGUGUAGACUCUCUUAUGUUAUGAAAUGAAGUGCGUUUGAUCAAAAAAAAAAAAAAAAGGGGAAUAACAAGAAGAUGGAGGUUGUUGGGAAAGGGAACACCAAACUGAUGUUGAACGGAGCAAACUACGUAAUAAGUGACGUGUAUUACGUACCAGAACUCAAAAAUAACCUCUUGAGUCUUGGACAGCUUCAAGAAAAACGGAUCACAAUCAUCAUUCAAAAAGGCUACUGCAAAAUCUAUCAUGAAGAGAGGGGUUUGAUAGCUGAGAGUAGGAUGAGCUCAAACCGUAUGUUUGCACUAGCUGAUCAAGGAAGAGGUGAUUCAAACUCAAGUGAACAGAGGUGCCUGAAGACAACUUCUGAAGAUGUGCCAAAAUUAUGGCAUGAGCGUUAUGGCCACUUAAGUCACCGAGGAAUUAAAGCACUACAGAGCAAAGGCAUGGUGAGGGGUCUACCAGACUUUGGGGUUCAGAGCUUUACGUGUCCAGACUGUCUGGUGGGGAAGCAACCAAGAAAGGCCAUACCGAAGAAGAGUACAUGGAGAGCAAAAGAGGCAUUGGAACUAAUCCACUCGGAUAUCUGUGGUCCAAUCAAUCCCACUUCCAACAGUGGAAUGAGGUACAUUCUAUGUUUCAUAGACGACUAUAGCAGAAAGGGUUGGGUGUAUCUACUGAAGAAUAAGUCUGAUGCCUUCACUGAGUUCAAAACGUUCAAGAAGAUGGUAGAAACUGAGACCGGGAAGGUGAUCAAAGGCUUAAGGACAGACAGGGGAGGAGAAUACACCUCACUAGAGUUCUCAGACUACUGCAAGGAGCACGGAAUCAGACGCCAACUGACCACAUCCUACACUCCUCAACAGAACGGCAUAGCCGAGAGAAAGAACCGCACUGUCAUGAACAUGGUGAGGUCAAUGUUUUCUAACAAGAAGAUGCCAAAGAUCUUAUGGCCCAAGGCUGUGAAGUGGACUUUCUAUGUUCUCAACAGGUGCCCCACUAUAGCCGUGAAAAACGUCACACCACAAGAGGCAUGGAGCGGGAUGAAGCCGAGUGUGGAACACUUCAGAGUCUGGGGAUGCAUUGCACAUGUCCACAUUCCUGAUCAGAAACGAAGCAAGCUCGAUGAUAAGAGCACACCAUGUGUUCUACUUGGAUACUCUGAAGAAUCCAAAGCCUACAGACUGUACAAUCCAAAGACUAAGAAGAUGAUGACAAGUCGAGAUGUGGUGUUUGAGGAAACAAAAGAAUGGGAUUGGAACGAGGAUCAAGAUCAUCUCACGGAAGGAUCGUUAACAUGGAAUGGAGAUGAUGUGGAUUGGGAAGAAAGUGAUGAAGAAGACAACAAUGGAGAGGUGGAAGAUAACAACAACGAGACUGAGCAGCCUGUAGAAGACGCAGUAGAGAAUCAAGAAGAACAUACUGCAGAGAUCAGGGAGGGCAGAGCCAGAAGACCUCCAAGCUACUUAAAAGACUAUGUGCACUGCAUUGAAACCAUUGAUAAUGAAGAAGAAGUGGUCAACAUGGUGGAGAUAAAUGCAACAGAUCCUGUAAACUUUGAGGAAGCAGAAAAAAACUUGAAGUGGAGAGAUGCGAUGACAGAAGAGAUAAACUCCAUUGAGAAGAAUCAGACGUGGGAGCUGUGCACGUUACCUAAUGGAGCCAAGUGCAUAGGCGUGAAGUGGAUUUACAAAACCAAGCUGAAAGAGCUCGGAGAAAUUAUUAAGCAUAAGGCGAGGCUGGUAGCUAAGGGAUAUUCUCAGGAGCUUGGAAUCGAUUACACUGAAGUAUAUGCUCCCGUUGCACGCAUGGACACCAUUAGAACCAUUCUAGCCACUGCAGCUCAGAAGUCAUGGAUCGUGUACCAGCUCGACGUCAAGUCAGCAUUUCUUCACGGAAUCCUCACUGAAGAUGUCUUCAUACAACAACCUAAAGGGUACGUAGUGGAGGGACAUGAAGACAGCGUCUACAAGCUUCACAAGGCAUUGUAUGGUCUGAAGCAAGCUCCAAGGGCCUGGUUUAGUCGCAUUGAAGAAUACUUUCUGAAAGCUGGCUUCGCAAAGUCACAGAACGAGGAGACAUUGUUUCUCAAGGUCGACAAUCAAGGUAAUAUCCUGAUUGUGAGUGUGUACGUUGAUGACCUUAUUUACACAGGAAGCAGUCUUGAGAUGAUGAUGGAGUUCAAGAAGUCUAUGCAAGACGAGUUCGACAUGACUGAUCUUGGGAGGAUGAGGUAUUUCUUGGGCAUUGAGGUGCAUCAGAAGGUGAAUGGAAUUCACAUAUCUCAAGCCAAGUACGCUCAGGAGAUUCUCAAACGGUUCGACAUGGAGGAUUGCAAUUCAGUUACAAAUCCUAUGGUGCCUGGAGAGAAGCUUGACAUGGAUGCUGAAGGAGAAAGAAUAGACGAGACACUCUAUAAGCAAAUGAUUGGGAGUCUCAUGUACAUUACAACCACACGACCUGACCUGCAAUUCUCGGUGAACUUACUCAGUCGCUUCAUGUCAAAACCUACAAGACUCCACGCACAAGCUGUGAAGAAGGUACUGAGGUACUUAAAGGGGACAACAGACUUUGGUAUUUGGUACAAUGGAGGAGGAACAGGGGAGCUAUGUGUCUACACUGACAGCGACUUUGCUGGAGAUAUCGAUAGCAGAAAGAGUACCUCAGGGUAUGUUUUUCUUUUGGAUAAUGGGGCAGUUGCAUGGUGUUCUAAGAAGCAGCCAAUAGUUACUUUGUCCACGACUGAAGCCGAGUAUGUGGCGGCAUCAGUUUGCGCAUGUCAAGCUAUUUGGUUCAAAAGAGUUAUGAAGGAGUUGGGACAUGAGAUGAACGAGAGCACCAUUAUUCAAUGCGACAACACGUCAACAAUUAAGUUAUCUAAGAACCCUGUAUUUCAUGGGCGUUGCAAGCAUAUUGGUGUCAGGUUUCAUUUCUUACGUGAUCUGGUAAAUGAAGGAGAGAUAAGCUUGGAACAUUGCGGUACUGAAGAACAAGUUGCUGAUGUAUUCACAAAGGCAUUAAAGAGGGAAGUGUUCGAGAAGAUGAGAAGCAGACUUGGAGUCUGCUCAGUCAAGGAUAAGCUGAAUCUUGAAGACCAAGUUUAGCUUAGGGAGGGUUUGUUGGAGCAAAACUACCAUUUGAAGUUUGGAGCCGUUGGAGGUUUGAUUUAGUCUUUCACGUUUGUUAGUUGUUUCAAUAAUGUCCUAUUCUUUAGGACCAAGUAGUUUCCAGUUCUAGUGGUUUAGUUGCGUUAGUUGUUGCUUUAUUUCAGGAGCUCUUUAUUUCAUUGUAAUGCUACUUAUAGCUAUUGCUUUCAGUUGAAUACAAUCAGAGUUUCAUAAACACAAAACAGAGCAUUUGGGAUUACAAAUCUUUCAUGGGUUGGCUCUGUAAAUAAUCAAAUUUUUUUAUAAAAAAAUGCGUUGACAUGCGCAGACCUGCUGUACAAGGACCACAACAGCGACCAGAAAUUGAGUAUCACCACUCACUCUCCUGCCGGUGUUGUAAGUUUCUAUUCAACUACGCUUCCUUUUUAGCAGUUGCAUUCUUACUAAUGAUAAUAGAGUAUGAGCUCUUCUUUAAUAUAUGCGUGUCUGUGUUCUUACUCUUUUUUUGUUUUAUUGAUUAGCUUUAUUUCUUUACCUCUGUUACAAUCUUUAGGCCAUCACAUCAACUGGAACCAAGAAAGGUGAAUCACUCUUGGGAGAUGUAGCUUUCCAACUCACGCAAAAAAACAUCACCACCCAUUUCAAAGUUUCCACUGACAACACCGUAUGCCUUUUUCUACCAAAUACAUUCUUCCUUUUAGCUCAUCUGAGUAUCUUAACUAUUCUUCUAUUAUUUGUUUCAGGUUUUGAUCACUGCUACCGUUGAUGAGGCUGCCCCUGGAUUGAAGUCCAUCUUCAGCUUCAGGGCCCCUGACCAAAACUCCGGCAAGGUAGGCCUUUCUUCUUCUCUUUUCAACCCCAAUCCAUCUACACUUGUUCUAUUUUUGCUGAUCAUUCUUACUUUCUUUCAUACAGAUUGAGCUUCAGUAUUUACAUGACUACGCUGGUAUCAGCACCAGCAUGGGAUUGACUCAGAACCCCACUGUCAACUUCUCCGGUGUUAUUGGGAACAAUGCCUUGGCUGUUGGUACUGACGUUUCCUUGGACACCAAAUCCGGCAAUUUCACCAAGAUCAAUGCUGGCCUCAACUUCACCAAGGAUGAUUUAAUUGCUUCCCUUACCCUGUAAGUCAAUGAAUUCCUGUGGAUGAAAGAUGUGGUUCUUAUCAGUCUUGUUUGUUCAGGAACGACAAAGGAGAUUCCGUCAACGCCUCAUACUACCACAUUGUUAACCCGCUGUUCAACACUGCUGUUGGAGCUGAAGUGAACCACAAAUUCUCUACCAAGGUCAAUACGAUAACCGUGGGAACGCAGCAUUCGAUUGACCCCUUAACCAUAGUGAAAGCACGUGUGAACAGUGCGGGGAUAGCCAAUGCACUCAUUCAACACGAGUGGUCGCCCAAGUCCUUCUUCACAGUCUCUGGAGAAGUUGACACUAAGGCCAUCGACAAGAGUGCUAAGGUUGGAUUGGCUCUCUCUCUCAAGCCUUGAUAAUGAGCCAUCCCAAGUAGUAGUUUAUUUAUACUCCCUCUUGCUUGGUUUUAAUGGCGGGCUACUUGCUAAUCUUUUUUCCCCCAUUUUCUUGUUGGAUUUGUAGAAGAGAAUAAUAAUAA
RNAcentral lists this long non-coding RNA (5181 nucleotides) under Brassica napus (rape). RNAcentral describes it as "long non-coding RNA (BNAP_LNC025846)". The record is from RNAcentral. Lineage: Eukaryota; Viridiplantae; Streptophyta; Magnoliopsida; Brassicales; Brassicaceae.